UCCUGAUGGAGAAACGAGAUGCUCUUGCCAGCCUUCCUAGCUCCUGUCUCAAGGCACAAAGGGAAUUAGAGCACGUCAAAGAAGCUGGGACUGGAUAGCACCUCUUCUCCAUGGAAAGGGCUGAGGCUAAGAAGGUUCGGCUCUAACUCAGUUUACAUCAGAGGGCUUCUCAGUGCAUUUGUAGAAAAUUAAGCCUCAACAGGU
This 204-nucleotide long non-coding RNA is filed under the name Mus caroli (Ryukyu mouse). Its description in RNAcentral is "lncRNA (MGP_CAROLIEiJ_G0005155.1)". The record is from RNAcentral. Lineage: Eukaryota; Metazoa; Chordata; Mammalia; Rodentia; Muridae.